RNAcentral lists this ribosomal RNA (1389 nucleotides) under metagenome. Its description in RNAcentral is "bacterial SSU rRNA". It matches the Rfam family "Bacterial small subunit ribosomal RNA". The record is from RNAcentral.
UCAUAUCGGAACGUACCCUAUCGUGGGGGAUAACGAAUCGAAAGAUUCGCUAAUACCGCAUACGACCUGAGGGUGAAAGCGGGGGAUCGCAAGACCUCGCGCGACAGGAGCGGCCGAUAUCGGAUUAGCUAGUUGGUGAGGUAAAAGCUCACCUAGGCGACGAUCCGUAGCUGGUCUGAGAGGACGACAGCCACACUGGGACUGAGACACGGCCCAGACUCCUACGGGAGGCAGCAGUGGGGAAUUUUGGACAAUGGGGGAAACCCUGAUCCAGCCAUUCCGCGUGAGUGAAGAAGGCCUUCGGGUUGUAAAGCUCUUUCGGCAGGAACGAAAAGGUGCGGGCUAAUACCCUGUAUCAAUGACGGUACCUGAAGAAGAAGCACCGGCUAACUACGUGCCAGCAGCCGCGGUAAUACGUAGGGUGCGAGCGUUAAUCGGAAUUACUGGGCGUAAAGCGUGCGCAGGCGGUUUUGUAAGACAGAUGUGAAAUCCCCGGGCUUAACCUGGGAACUGCGUUUGUGACUGCAAGACUUGAGUGCGGCAGAGGGGGGUGGAAUUCCACGUGUAGCAGUGAAAUGCGUAGAGAUGUGGAGGAACACCGAUGGCGAAGGCAGCCCCCUGGGUCGACACUGACGCUCAUGCACGAAAGCGUGGGUAGCAAACAGGAUUAGAUACCCUGGUAGUCCACGCCCUAAACGAUGCCAACUAGGUGUUGGGGAAGGAGACUUCCUUAGUACCGUAGCUAACGCGUGAAGUUGGCCGCCUGGGGAGUACGGUCGCAAGAUUAAAACUCAAAGGAAUUGACGGGGACCCGCACAAGCGGUGGAUGAUGUGGAUUAAUUCGAUGCAACGCGAAAAACCUUACCUACCCUUGACAUGCCAGGAAUCCCGGAGAGAUUUGGGAGUGCUCGAAAGAGAGCCUGGACACAGGUGCUGCAUGGCUGUCGUCAGCUCGUGUCGUGAGAUGUUGGGUUAAGUCCCGCAACGAGCGCAACCCUUGUCAUUAGUUGCCAUCAUUUAGUUGGGCACUCUAAUGAGACUGCCGGUGACAAACCGGAGGAAGGUGGGGAUGACGUCAAGUCCUCAUGGCCCUUAUGGGUAGGGCUUCACACGUCAUACAAUGGUCGGUACAGAGGGUUGCCAAGCCGCGAGGUGGAGCCAAUCCCAGAAAGCCGAUCGUAGUCCGGAUCGGAGUCUGCAACUCGACUCCGUGAAGUCGGAAUCGCUAGUAAUCGUGGAUCAGCAUGUCACGGUGAAUACGUUCCCGGGUCUUGUACACACCGCCCGUCACACCAUGGGAGUGGGUUUCACCAGAAGUAGGUAGCCUAACCGCAAGGAGGGCGCUUACCACGGUGGGAUUCAUGACUGGGGUGAAGUCGUAACAAGGUA